CCUACGGGAGGCAGCAGUGGGGAAUAUUGGACAAUGGGGGCAACCCUGAUCCAGCCAUGCCGCGUGAGUGAUGACGGCCUUAGGGUUGUAAAGCUCUUUUCUCCGGGACGAUAAUGACGGUACCGGAGGAAUAAGCCCCGGCUAACUUCGUGCCAGCAGCCGCGGUAAUACGAAGGGGGCUAGCGUUGCUCGGAAUCACUGGGCGUAAAGGGCGCGUAGGCGGCUGACUUAGUCGAGGGUGAAAGCCCGUGGCUCAACCACGGAAUGGCCUUCGAUACUGGUUGGCUUGAGACCGGAAGAGGACAGCGGAACUGCGAGUGUAGAGGUGAAAUUCGUAGAUAUUCGCAAGAACACCAGUGGCGAAGGCGGCUGUCUGGUCCGGUUCUGACGCUGAGGCGCGAAAGCGUGGGGAGCAAACAGGAUUAGAUACCCUGGUAGUCCACGCUGUAAACGAUGAAUGCUAGCCGUUGGGUCUGCAUGCAGGUACGAGUGGGCGGCCGGCCGUAACCGACAUUAAGUCAUUCCGUCCCGUCGGGGAGGUACGGGUCGGCGAAGAAUUAAAACCUUAACAAAUAGAAGUUAGUACGGGCGUGAGACGUGCCCGAACGGACCGACCGAACCGAAGGGGGAAGGUUAAGGG
Molecule: ribosomal RNA, 640 nt
Filed under: uncultured bacterium
Lineage: Bacteria
Description: bacterial SSU rRNA
Rfam family: Bacterial small subunit ribosomal RNA (bases 1-528)
Source: RNAcentral